GAAUGUAUGCCUUUGAUCCUUGCCGCAACAGGAUAAUGUUGUUAGUUAACGAUAAUCAAGAAUAGAAAUGAACGUCAACGUAUCAAAUCAACAAAUAUUCGGUACACAAGAAUGUCGGAAGCACAUACGUCUGAUAACGCCAGUCCUUUUGGUCGCACACUGAUCCAGACCUGGCAAACGGCUGUUAUAGGUGACUGCUGUCGACUGUAAUCUGAUUGAGUCGGAUUAAUCGGAUUAAACCGCUGCUGCAUGCCUGAACUGAGGCGAUGGCGUGUUGUAGUUGACCGAUUCCCACAGAGACCGUAGAACAGAUCCACCCAGGGCGAGGACACAUUCCACAUCAGUGUGCUCUAUCCUCAACUAUUCACAGACCUGUAAUAACAUGUGCAGAGGCA
Molecule: long non-coding RNA, 395 nt
Organism: Scophthalmus maximus (turbot)
Lineage: Eukaryota; Metazoa; Chordata; Actinopteri; Pleuronectiformes; Scophthalmidae
Exons: 3
Source: RefSeq, a predicted model, not a curated record